RNAcentral lists this long non-coding RNA (2272 nucleotides) under Salmo salar (Atlantic salmon). Its description in RNAcentral is "lncRNA (ENSSSAG00000087616.1)". The record is from RNAcentral. Lineage: Eukaryota; Metazoa; Chordata; Actinopteri; Salmoniformes; Salmonidae.
CUAACAGAAACCAUGUUACAGAGAAUGUCUGGCCACUGUCUGAGAAGAGAUGACUAACAUGGUGACUAGACCGGGCACGCGCAUGUUGAUUUUGUACAUCCACACAAGAUGCAAUAAGAACACGCAGGUUAAAAUAUCAAAACAAACUGAACCAACUAUAUUAAUUUGAGAACAGGUUGGUACACAUGAAGCACUCUUGUCCAUUUAGCAAGCUUGCAGUUGCUAGCUAGUUUGUCCUGGGAUAUAAACAUUGGGUUAUUAUUUUUAUCUGAAAUGCACGAGGUCCUUUACUGAGUCACAAAAUAGUGUGCUCUACAGCAUCUCAGUCCAAGAGGCAGCACUACAGUACGCUGUAUCACAUCCGGCAUACAAUUGGCCCAGCGUCGUCCAGGCCCCGGCAUUGUAAAUAAUAAUUUGUUCUUAUCCGACUUUCCUAGUUAAAUACAUAAACUAGUUCGUUUCUAGUGAUUUCUUCUGUGGACUUUAUAUGGCCGUCAGCAACCAACUUUAAGGUGCACUACCACCACCAACUGGACUGGAGUUUGGUCCUCAGUUCAUCUUUCAAAUCAGCCAAGUGGGUAUAUGCUCCUAAAACCCAGAGGAGAUGGGAGAGGAGGGACUUGCAGCGCAUUAAAUACAGGACCAAGUUCUAUUUUAGCACCUGGCUACACAGACACCUGUUGACACAUGCAAGAAGUUUGGAUGAAAUGAUUGAACAUGCAUAAGUACAUUCAUGCUGUCGACGCAAUGUGGACCUGACAGGAAUAUUUUCAAUGUUUUGGCAAUUGAACAUUCACCAUUGUUGGCUUUGAAAUUUCCUAUAUUGUUCAACUUUAAUUGUGAUGUCAUUAUUUCUAAAUGCAUUUAAUGUUCAAAGUUAGUUGCGCUAAAAUAAACUCACCUUUGCAAUGGAGAAUGUCAUCUUUACAAAACUGGUUGAACAGUUAUUUUAAUCCAUGUAGCCACCUGCAACUUUCCAUUAAUAUUUGAAUUCUGAACAAUUCAGUGUAGGACAUUUUUACCUUCAAUAGAAACACAUUUUUUUUUUUUUAAAUGGUCCUGUGCAGUUUGAACCCCCCCCAAAAAAAUACUAAUUACCACCAACAAGUUCUCCAUAGCAAAUUAUUUUUGAAUCAAUAGUGUAUCAUGCCAGUAUAUAUCUGCAGUAGUAGUUAGUUUAGUAGCUAGCUACACCAGUAGGUGUGUAGCGGAAAUAAAUCAAUGGAAGGCAGGCACAGGUUAAGUCGUGGUCACCUUGGGGUUCAUAAUUCCUCAUGAAACCCUGAUAAUCUCCACAUAAAAUAGCUUGUUAGCUAGGGGUGAGUCGAAUGACUGAACGUACCGGCAUUUGGGUGUAGCAACGUAAACUAAGCUUGGGUAGUAUAGCCAUCAAACGACGGGCAGAUUAGGCUGUAUUUGAAUGAUAGCUAGCUAACUGUGUAGUUAACUUCGUUAUCUCGCUGUUGCCGUGGCCAAGGUUAGCUAGCUAGCUCGCUGUUGCCGUGGCCAAGGUUAGCUAGCUAGCUCGCUGUUGCCGUGGCCAAGGUUAACUAGCUAGCUCGCUGUUGCCGUGGCCAAGGUUAGCUAGCUAGCUCGCUGUUGCCGUGGCCAAGGUUAGCUAGCUCGUUAAAAGGCAAUACCAUAGUAAUAACUACGACGUUACAAAACGGCUGAUUUAAGCAGUCUAGCUAACGUUAGCUAUUCACUCAAGUCACCACAACUGUUUGCUGAUGUACCAUUUCUUCACAGCUAUGGCUUUUCAGUUAUCGGUUUGAUUUUAGAUGUUAGCGGGCUAACAAGGUCGUAAAAUUACCACGUUUCAACAACGGAUACAGAAUCAGGCAAAACGUUCCUUUAGAUAAAAUGUAAAAAUAAAAAAAAACGAACCAAUGCAAUGUUCACAAUUCAAGAAAUUGACUACAAGUUAAACUACUAAAACGUAUUUAAUCAAUGUUACCUGUUCAAAUAAACUAUAUUCCUUACAGGUGUUCAACUUCAGAGCUUUUAGUCUUCAGUUCCGAUCAGCUUUCUCCUCGCCGGUAGCCGACUCACUGGAUCUAAUAGUAUUGAGAGCGAGUUCCUUUUUCUUCCCUCCAGAUUUUAUUACGUCAUCCAGACUGGCCAGUCACAUGCUUCUAGCGUCAUUAUGACGAACACGGCUGUUUUGCAUUCAAGCCCUAGAUGGAGUUGAGAACAUGAUGUAGGCCUACUACACAAAUGGAAAUAGCAUACUACACAACAUUUCAGUGGAAAUGCCGUUGUUUGUAUUCAC